This 544-nucleotide ribosomal RNA is filed under the name Callichthys callichthys (cascarudo). RNAcentral describes it as "partial 16S ribosomal RNA". It matches the Rfam family "Bacterial large subunit ribosomal RNA", at positions 1808 to 2574 of the family's 2925-position model. The record is from RNAcentral. Lineage: Eukaryota; Metazoa; Chordata; Actinopteri; Siluriformes; Callichthyidae.
CAAAAACAUCGCCUCCCGCAAAACUGCUAUAUAUGGGAGGUCCCACCUGCCCAGUGACAAUGUUUAACGGCCGCGGAACCCAACCGUGCGAAGGUAGCGCAAUCACUUGUCUUUUAAAUAAAGACCCGUAUGAACGGUCAAACGAGGACUUAACUGUCUCCCUUUUCCAGUCAAUGAAAUUGAUCUGCCCGUGCAGAAGCGGACAUCACCAUACAAGACGAGAAGACCCUUUGGAGCUUAAGACAGAACAUCACCUAUGUUUACAACAGUAAAACCAUAAUAGCAUCUGAUGGGAGUCUUCGGUUGGGGCGACCGCGGAAUAAAAUAAAACUUCCGCAAGGACUAAAGAAACCCUUUAAAACUAAGAAAGACAUUUCCAAGUCGCAGAAUUUCUGACCACAAAGAUCCGGCUACGCCGAUCAACGAACCAAGUUACCCCAGGGAUAACAGCGCAAUCCCCUCUAAGAGUUCUUAUCGUCAAGGGGGUUUACGACCUCGAUGUUGGAUCAGGACAUCCUAAUGGUGCAGCAGCUAUUAAGGGUUC